GGCGGCAUGCCUUACACAUGCAAGUCGAACGGCAGCACGGGGGCAACCCUGGUGGCGAGUGGCGAACGGGUGAGUAAUACAUCGGAACGUGUCCUGUAGUGGGGGAUAGCCCGGCGAAAGCCGGAUUAAUACCGCAUACGAUCUACGGAAGAAAGCGGGGGAUCGCAAGACCUCGCGCUAUAGGGGCGGCCGAUGGCAGACUAGCUAGUUGGUGGGGUAAAGGCCUACCAAGGCGACGAUCUGUAGCUGGUCUGAGAGGACGACCAGCCACACUGGGACUGAGACACGGCCCAGACUCCUACGGGAGGCAGCAGUGGGGAAUUUUGGACAAUGGGGGAAACCCUGAUCCAGCAAUGCCGCGUGUGUGAAGAAGGCCUUCGGGUUGUAAAGCACUUUUGUCCGGAAAGAAAACCUUUGCACUAAUACUGUGAGGGGAUGACGGUACCGGAAGAAUAAGCACCGGCUAACUACGUGCCAGCAGCCGCGGUAAUACGUAGG
This 498-nucleotide ribosomal RNA is filed under the name uncultured beta proteobacterium. RNAcentral describes it as "bacterial SSU rRNA". It matches the Rfam family "Bacterial small subunit ribosomal RNA", at positions 38 to 531 of the family's 1533-position model. Lineage: Bacteria; Pseudomonadati; Pseudomonadota; Betaproteobacteria. The record is from RNAcentral.